RNAcentral lists this ribosomal RNA (480 nucleotides) under Staphylococcus aureus. RNAcentral's name for it is "partial 23S ribosomal RNA". It matches the Rfam family "Bacterial large subunit ribosomal RNA", at positions 457 to 939 of the family's 2925-position model. The record is from RNAcentral. Lineage: Bacteria; Bacillati; Bacillota; Bacilli; Caryophanales; Staphylococcaceae.
CUCCUAAGGCUAAAUACUCUCUAGUGACCGAUAGUGAACCAGUACCGUGAGGGAAAGGUGAAAAGCACCCCGGAAGGGGAGUGAAAUAGAACCUGAAACCGUGUGCUUACAAGUAGUCAGAGCCCGUUAAUGGGUGAUGGCGUGCCUUUUGUAGAAUGAACCGGCGAGUUACGAUUUGAUGCAAGGUUAAGCAGUAAAUGUGGAGCCGUAGCGAAAGCGAGUCUGAAUAGGGCGUUUAGUAUUUGGUCGUAGACCCGAAACCAGGUGAUCUACCCUUGGUCAGGUUGAAGUUCAGGUAACACUGAAUGGAGGACCGAACCGACUUACGUUGAAAAGUGAGCGGAUGAACUGAGGGUAGCGGAGAAAUUCCAAUCGAACCUGGAGAUAGCUGGUUCUCUCCGAAAUAGCUUUAGGGCUAGCCUCAAGUGAUGAUUAUUGGAGGUAGAGCACUGUUUGGACGAGGGGCCCCUCUCGGGUUAC